UAGUGCUCAUUGAAUUUCCAUCUAGCUGUUAACCCUGUUGUCAAUAACAAUAAGAAUAAUAAUACUUUUAUUCCAUUAAAGCAAUAACAAUGCAAUAGGAAACGUCAAUAAAAAUAUAACAAGUCGAUAAACGUCAUUAAUACUAUAACAA
Molecule: long non-coding RNA, 151 nt
Organism: Nilaparvata lugens (brown planthopper)
Lineage: Eukaryota; Metazoa; Arthropoda; Insecta; Hemiptera; Delphacidae
Exons: 3
Source: RefSeq, a predicted model, not a curated record